RNAcentral lists this small nuclear RNA (179 nucleotides) under Neogobius melanostomus (round goby). Its description in RNAcentral is "U2 spliceosomal RNA (ENSNMLG00000002612.1)". It matches the Rfam family "U2 spliceosomal RNA". Rfam says of the family: U2 is a small nuclear RNA (snRNA) component of the spliceosome (involved in pre-mRNA splicing). The record is from Rfam by way of RNAcentral. Lineage: Eukaryota; Metazoa; Chordata; Actinopteri; Gobiiformes; Gobiidae.
AUCGCUUCUCGGCCUUUUGGCUAGAUCAGUGUAGUAUCUGUUCUUAUCAGUUUUAAUAUUUGAUCGUCCCUACGCGGGACCUAUUAUUAAUUGAUUUUGGAGCGGGAGAUGGCUUAGGCUUGCUCGUCAUCCAGCAUCGAGAUGGGUAUUGCUGUACUUCUGGGUCGGUUGCUCCCCUU